RNAcentral lists this ribosomal RNA (643 nucleotides) under Streptomyces sp. EK-I92. RNAcentral describes it as "bacterial SSU rRNA". It matches the Rfam family "Bacterial small subunit ribosomal RNA", at positions 36 to 696 of the family's 1533-position model. Lineage: Bacteria; Bacillati; Actinomycetota; Actinomycetes; Kitasatosporales; Streptomycetaceae. The record is from RNAcentral.
CCGGCGGGUGCUUACACAUGCAGUCGAACGAUGAACCACUUCGGUGGGGAUUAGUGGCGAACGGGUGAGUAACACGUGGGCAAUCUGCCCUGCACUCUGGGACAAGCCCUGGAAACGGGGUCUAAUACCGGAUACUGAUCCGUCUGGGCAUCCAGGCGGUUCGAAAGCUCCGGCGGUGCAGGAUGAGCCCGCGGCCUAUCAGCUUGUUGGUGAGGUAGUGGCUCACCAAGGCGACGACGGGUAGCCGGCCUGAGAGGGCGACCGGCCACACUGGGACUGAGACACGGCCCAGACUCCUACGGGAGGCAGCAGUGGGGAAUAUUGCACAAUGGGCGAAAGCCUGAUGCAGCGACGCCGCGUGAGGGAUGACGGCCUUCGGGUUGUAAACCUCUUUCAGCAGGGAAGAAGCGAAAGUGACGGUACCUGCAGAAGAAGCGCCGGCUAACUACGUGCCAGCAGCCGCGGUAAUACGUAGGGCGCGAGCGUUGUCCGGAAUUAUUGGGCGUAAAGAGCUCGUAGGCGGCUUGUCACGUCGGUUGUGAAAGCCCGGGGCUUAACCCCGGGUCUGCAGUCGAUACGGGCAGGCUAGAGUUCGGUAGGGGAGAUCGGAAUUCCUGGUGUAGCGGUGAAAUUGGCGUAAAAA